CCACAUUCCGAUGCCGCCCACAGCUGCGACUCCGUGCCGGAAAUUGCCCUCAGGAACCGACCGACCUGCGUCUCGCGGAGAGGGUGAGGCCGGAGUUCGAGACUAGGCGGCCGCAAGGGAUGGACCGCCGCGCGGGGUGGGAGGCGGAAGAUUCCUGUGCCGCCGCCUCGGGAGACGAAUUCCCGCAUCGGGCGGUUGCUACUUUGGUCGGAGGAGGGAGCGGUGGAGGUGGAGAGCUUGCGGUCGAGAAACUGGAGCAUGCAGUCGAGGCGCUUGGUGGUGGAGUGGAUGGAAGCAGCUGAGGGCGUAACGACGUCGUUAUCAUCGUCGUCAUCGGAAGAAGGGAAGUACAUAAGGGUGGGAGAGUGGUGGUGGCGAGUGUGUGAGGAUGAAACGACGUCGUUUUGGUUGAAAGGUGGAUCCAUUAUUGUCGUUUAGUUGCUAUUGCGAGGAUCGGAGGAAAUAUAGGGAUAGAGCCAGAGGCAGGAUGAAACGGCGUUGUUUGUGGGGAAACGGCGUUGUUUGUGGGGAUUUUGCUGAGAGUGUUGGAUUGAGUUGAAAUUGGUUGGGAGAAAAAAGGGGAGACUGGGAGAGGAAGAAGGGAGAGUGGGAAUAAUUGAGAUUUGAGAAGUGAAAGUGGAAUUUGGACAGGUGAGCUGUGAGCUGUGAGCUGUGAGCUGUGAGCUGACCCGGUUGUUUGUUCGAGCACAACACAACAUGCCUUGCCUUACUUUUCUUUAGGUAUGUUCUUUUGUCUUUACGUUGUUACCUGUUUGUUGUAUGUAGAGAUGGCAAUGGCUUUCCACCUUCUAGUAAAAUGUAUCCCAUCAUCAUCUUAUUUUUGCUUUGGGUUUCCCUUUUUUUUUCCGCAAGGGAGAAUGAUACCUGUAGGUAUUUAUAAAUAUUAAUUUUAAUUUUUUUAAAAAAAAUCAGUACAAUUAUAAUAAAAUUGGAUGUACAAUUUAAUUAAAUAUAUUAAAUCAAAACGGAAUGAUGAAAAGACUAUUUUGGUGAUAUUGAAACUACAAACUAGCAAUUUUCAAUGUUUAUAUGUCUCUUCUAAAUAUAUGAAACAUUUUAGAUGACCUCUUAUAAUUGUAAUUAACAAUGCAAAUUAUUUCUAAACUUAUUCCAAAAAAUAUAAGCUAAAGAAAAACAUUUUAAAAACGCCAUAAAAAAUUUUGAUCACUCUUCUCUUUUUUUCAUUUUAAAAAUAUGGUUGAGUUAUGACCACAUCGUGUUCAGGAAUUGUCACGCAGGAAAUAAUAGAGAGCUUAAUUCAUAUGAACCAUCGGUAUAUCACUCUUUUAUCCAUGAACUAGCAGUCCAACACCUCAUUGGAUAUCAACAGUAAAUAAAAUUUAAAAGCAGAAAUAAAUAAAUUGAAAAGUAAAGAACGGAAGAAUGGAGGAUCACCGUAAGAGGUUAUAGUGAGGGAGAGAACAGGUCCUCUAUGAGCAUGCCAAGACAAGCACUCCUUGAAAGGAUUCCUCAACUUCCUAUUAUCCUCCAAAACCACACGAUCACCAUCACCGUCACCAUCACCACCGUCCAUCACCCAGCACCUUAUUCUUCCAUCCCUGUGCCCGCUCCACACUACUCUGUUCCCAUCGUCCGCCACCAAGCACAUCGCCGCCGACGUCCAUACUGAUUCCCGAAACGGCACACUCUCUUCGUCCCCAACCCUAACGUUGCAUCCUCCUCCUCCUUCUCCAUCUCCAUCCCCUUCUUCCCAAGAACAAUACAGAUCUUUGAAGUUCCAGAACCUCACGCCACAUUCCGAUGCCGCCCACAGCUGCGACUCCGUGCCGGAAAUUGCCCUCAGGAACCGACCGACCUGCGUCUCGCGGAGAGGGUGAGGCCGGAGUUCGAGACUAGGCGGCCGCAAGGGAUGGACCGCCGCGCGGGGUGGGAGGCGGAAGAUUCCUGUGCCGCCGCCUCGGGAGACGAAUUCCCGCAUCGGGCGGUUGCUACUUUGGUCGGAGGAGGGAGCGGUGGAGGUGGAGAGCUUGCGGUCGAGAAACUGGAGCAUGCAGUCGAGGCGCUUGGUGGUGGAGUGGAUGGAAGCAGCUGAGGGCGUAACGACGUCGUUAUCAUCGUCGUCAUCGGAAGAAGGGAAGUACAUAAGGGUGGGAGAGUGGUGGUGGCG
RNAcentral lists this long non-coding RNA (2149 nucleotides) under Arachis ipaensis. RNAcentral describes it as "long non-coding RNA (AIPA_LNC002229)". Lineage: Eukaryota; Viridiplantae; Streptophyta; Magnoliopsida; Fabales; Fabaceae. The record is from RNAcentral.